Long non-coding RNA from Capsicum annuum, 423 nucleotides. RefSeq lists it as uncharacterized. The record is from RefSeq and is a predicted model, not a curated record. The transcript has 2 exons. NCBI's taxonomy places the organism in Eukaryota, Viridiplantae, Streptophyta, Magnoliopsida, Solanales, Solanaceae.
UUCAAAAGUUCUCUCAAUUAUGAACUUCACAAAGUUUCUAGUAGCAUUAUUUAUCAUUGUGAUUUUUGUAGCAAAUGUUGAAGGUACAAGUGAGGUGAAACUAUCUUGUGAGAAAAAAUGUAAACUUUUAUGUAUUCUCAAUCCUUUUUGCAUGGAUGGUUGUUUGAAGGAUUGUCAUCAUUCUAUUUCUAUUAAAAAAGCUCAACUGAACAUUGUUCCCAAUUUAAAUAAGAUGAGAAGUUGAUGAAAAACUGCAUGAAAAAUGUGCAACAAAAUUUGCAAUGGCAUGUCAUUUCAUGCUUUUGUUCUUUAGUCAACUACUAUAAAAUAUUAAAAACAAGCUAGGAAAAAUAUGUUAUCUUGAUGGUACUUCAAUUGUAAUCAAUAUUUAUGCUUUUAAUGAAGAAGUAUUAUAUUUGUGAA